RNAcentral lists this unclassified non-coding RNA (400 nucleotides) under soil metagenome. RNAcentral's name for it is "partial contains 5.8S ribosomal RNA, internal transcribed spacer 2, and large subunit ribosomal RNA". The stretch from base 1 to 122 matches the Rfam family "5.8S ribosomal RNA", at positions 35 to 154 of the family's 154-position model. The record is from RNAcentral.
GAUGAAGAACGUAGUGAAAUGCGAUACUUGGUGUGAAUUGCAGAAUCCCGUGAACCAUCGAGUCUUUGAACGCAAGUUGCGCCUCAAGCCAUUAGGUUGAGGGCACGUCUGCCUGGGCGUCACAUAUCGUUGCCUGAUGCCAGUUUCCUCGUGAUGGGUGACUGUGCAGGGCGAAUGAUGGCUUCCCGUGAGCAUUGUUGCCUCAUGGUUGGUUGAAAAUUGAGUCCUUGGUAGGGGGCGCCGUGAUAGAUGGUGGUUGAGUGACGAACGAGACCCAAUCAUGUGAGACCCCUACCGAAUUUGGCCUUCAUGACCCACAUGCGUCUUUGGAACGCUCAUGACGAGACCUCAGGUCAGGCGGGGCUACCCGCUGAGUUUAAGCAUAUCAAUAAGCGGAGGA